Manis javanica (Malayan pangolin) is the source of this 518-nucleotide non-coding RNA. Lineage: Eukaryota; Metazoa; Chordata; Mammalia; Pholidota; Manidae. The record is from RefSeq and is a predicted model, not a curated record.
GUCGCGAACUUGAUGGAUUACAGCGGGAGAACCCAGGGAACCGGUCCUUUGCGGCUCCUUCUGCGCAUGUGCAGUCCUUCCUCCUUGUUCGCCAGCUCCCCUGUCUCCAGCUGCGCUGCAGGUAACCCUGGAGCCUCCAGGUCGAAGCAUUGCUCGGUGACCGGGUGCUGCACGAAGGAUGUGCACUACAGCCAGGUCCACACUCCCCUGGAUCACACAGUUCUUGUGAGGAAAGAAGGUGGCAAUACCAGGAGCAGACCUCCCGCCUGGGAGAUGCCCACCCCACCCAGGCGCAGGUCACCACAGCUGCAGGGCACAGAUCCUGGGAGCAAGCCGAUUCUCAGAACCACUCAGAAGUGAGUCCUGGUCCUUUUGUCCUAAGGGACAGCGCCACGCCAGACGUCAGCCAAGGUGUGGCCCGACUUUCAAAACAGAGAGUGGCAGAAUCAGAAGGAGCGUCAAGGCCCGCUGACUCCCAAGCCACUGUUCUGUCCACCAUGUCUCAGUUAAGUCCAAAC